RNAcentral lists this long non-coding RNA (1014 nucleotides) under Prunus persica (peach). Its description in RNAcentral is "long non-coding RNA (PPER_LNC008742)". The record is from RNAcentral. Lineage: Eukaryota; Viridiplantae; Streptophyta; Magnoliopsida; Rosales; Rosaceae.
UGUCCAUUCGAUUCCCCAAUAUCUAAUGUGAAUUCUCAUACUUUUUCCAAUCAAAUUGGCCACUUCUAGCCUUUUAUGUUGCCAACCCUAGCUCACGCUACAGACUGGUAUUGUUGAGUCGGUUCAAUUUUAUUGAUUCAUGUUUUGGCAGAUCUUUUGUGUCCAUUCGAAUCCUCAAUCUCUAAUGUGAAUUCUCAUACUUUUUCCAAUCAAAUUGGCCACUUCUCGCCUUUUAUGUUGCCAACCCUAGCUCACGCUACGGACUGGUAUUGUUGAGUCGGUUCAAUUGUUUUGAUUCAUGUUUUGACAGAUCUUUUGUGUCCAUUCGAAUCCUCAGUCUCUAAUGUGAAUUCUCAUACUUUUUCCAAUCAAAUUGGCCACUUCUCGCCUUUUAUGUUGCCAACCCUAGCUCACGUGACAGACUGGUACUGUUGAGUCAGUUCAAUUUUUUUGAUUCAUGUUUUGGCAGAUCUUUUGUGUCCAUUCGAUUCCCCAAUAUCUAAUGUGAAUUCUCAUACUUUUUCCAAUCAAAUUGGCCACUUCUAGCCUUUUAUGUUGCCAACCCUAGCUCACGCUACAGACUGGUAUUGUUGAGUCGGUUCAAUGUUUUUGGUUAAUGUUUUGGCAGAUCUUUUGUGUCCAUUCGAAUCCUCAAUCUCUAAUGUGAAUUCUCAUACUUUUUCCAAUCAAAUUGGCCACUGCUAGCCUUUUAUGUUGCCAACCCUAGCUCACGUGACAGACUUGUACUGUUGAGUCGGUUCAAUUUUUUUGAUUCAUGUUUUGGCAGGUCUUUUGUGUCGAUUCGAAUUCUCAAUCUCUAAUGUGAAUUCUCAUACUUUUUCCAAUCAAAUUGGCCACUUCUGGCCUUUUAUGUUGCCACCCUAGCUCACCCUACAGACUGGUAUUGUUGAGUCGGUUCAAUUUUUUUGAUUCAUGUUUUCGCAGAUCUUUUGUGUCCAUUCGAAUCCUCAAUCUCUAAUGUGAAUUCUCAUACUUUUUCCAAUCAAAUUGGCC